Molecule: ribosomal RNA, 498 nt
Filed under: uncultured bacterium
Lineage: Bacteria
Description: partial 16S ribosomal RNA
Rfam family: Bacterial small subunit ribosomal RNA
Source: RNAcentral
AUUGAACGCUGGCGGAAUGCUUUACACAUGCAAGUCGAGCGGCAGCGCGGGGCAACCUGGCGGCGAGCGGCGAACGGGUGAGUAAUGCAUCAGAACAUGUCCAUGGAUGGGGGAUAGCCCGGCGAAAGCCGGAUUAAUACCGCAUGAGCCCGAGAGGGGAAAGUGGGGGACCGCAAGGCCUCCCGUCGAUGGGUUGGCCGAUGCCCGAUUAGCUAGUUGGUGAGGUAAUGGCUCACCAAGGCGAUGAUCAGUAGCUGGUCUGAGAGGAUGAUCAGCCACACUGGGACUGAGACACGGCCCAGACUCCUACGGGAGGCAGCAGUGGGGAAUUUUGGACAAUGGGGGCAACCCUGAUCCAGGCAUUCCGCGUGAGUGAAGAAGGCCUUCGGGUUGUAAAGCUCUUUUGUCCGGAGCGAAACGGGGCGCGUGAAUAUCGCGCUCUACUGACGGUACCGGAAGAAUAAGCACCGGCUAACUACGUGCCAGCCGCCGCCGUAA